This 489-nucleotide ribosomal RNA is filed under the name uncultured bacterium. RNAcentral's name for it is "partial 16S ribosomal RNA". It matches the Rfam family "Bacterial small subunit ribosomal RNA", at positions 30 to 507 of the family's 1533-position model. The record is from RNAcentral.
AUUGAACGCUGGCGGCAGGCCUAACACAUGCAAGUCGAACGGUAACAGGAAGAAGCUUGCUUCUUUGCUGACGAGUGGCGGACGUGUGAGUCAUGUCUGGGAAACUGCCUGAUGGAGGGGGAUAACUACUGGAAACGGUAGCUAAUACCGCAUAACGUCGCAAGAACAAAGAGGGGGACCUUCGGGCCCCUUGCCCUUGGGUGUGCCAGAUGGGAGUGGCUAGUAGGCGGGGUAACGGCUCACCUUAGCGGGGCUGGCUAGAUGGUCUGAGAGGAUGAACAGCCACACUGGAAGUGAGGAACGGUCCAGACUCCGACGGGGGGCAGCAGUGGGGAAUAUUGCACAAUGGGCGCAUGCCGGAUGCAGCCAUGCCGCGUGUAUGAAGAAGGCCUUCGGGUUGGAAAGUACUUUCGGCGGGGAGGAAGGGAGUAAAUUUAAUACCUUUGCUCAUUGACGUUACCCGCAGAAGAAGCACCGGCUAACUCCGUG